UUCCAUCUUCAGGGCAGGGUGAAAUUCCCGACCGGCGGUAAAAGUAGAUUGAGCCCGCGAGCGAGUAGAGUUUACUUGCUGACUCCGUGAGAACCGGAGGCCGACAGUACAGUCUGGAUGGGAGAAGAUGGAG
This 133-nucleotide non-coding RNA is filed under the name Jeotgalibacillus campisalis. Its description in RNAcentral is "FMN sequence". It matches the Rfam family "FMN riboswitch aptamer (RFN element)". Rfam says of the family: The RFN element is a highly conserved domain that is found frequently in the 5'-untranslated regions of prokaryotic mRNAs that encode for flavin mononucleotide (FMN) biosynthesis and transport proteins. This element is a metabolite-dependent riboswitch that directly binds FMN in the absence of proteins. The record is from Rfam by way of RNAcentral. Lineage: Bacteria; Bacillati; Bacillota; Bacilli; Caryophanales; Caryophanaceae.